RNAcentral lists this long non-coding RNA (1342 nucleotides) under Homo sapiens (human). RNAcentral's name for it is "HSALNT0378964". Lineage: Eukaryota; Metazoa; Chordata; Mammalia; Primates; Hominidae. The record is from RNAcentral.
GCAGGUGGAGAAGGAGUCCUGCUUGUUCUCAGCCUUCCUUUUUUCCUCCAGUCUGGGAUGUAGAUGAGAUGGUUGAAGCUCCAGCAGUCAUGGUGGAUCAUGAGGACACUCUGAGGAUGGAAACAAUGUGCUUGGAGGUUGAGUAAGAAAGACAGAAGGAGCUUGGAUCCCUGCUGACUGUAGAACUCUCCCUCACAGCCUGAAAGUACCUCCUUCCAGCCUUUUUUCACAUGAGAGAAAUGAACCUCUAACUUGUUUAAUCUGGAUUAUUCUGGGCUUUCUGUUGUGUGCAGUGGAACCCAAUCUUCAUCGAGUUCCCCUUCCCAAGAGUUCUGUCAUUUUUCCUGCAUUCUUUUUAGAUUUCAUAGCAUUUACUCUUUCCGAUAGAUGUGAAAAUUCUUUGAAAAGUUAACAUCUUGAAUAAUGAAAGAUAGCCUGUGCAACCCACGCAGAAGUAGGAGCUUUAAGCAAAGUUUUGUAGAGAGGACUGCAGAAUUUCUCUGUGUGUCUCGCUGGGACCUCAGAAUUUUUACCAGAAAAGGCAGGAGGGGACUGCCUGGUUUAAGCAUCUCUCCCUAACUGUGGUUUGGAAAAGUUUUUUUAAUUUGAGAAUUUAAACAGUCAAUACAAGGAUUAUUCCAACCUGGUUGAUCCAUGCUCUGAAAUGAGAACUCCCAUAGUUUAUCAUCUCUAAGAUACUAAAAUGCACAAUAUUUUAAAUCAAGGAAGGAAAAAUUCUGCCAGCUAUAAUUGUAAGAUGCAUCCUGAUUCCAGAAAUGUUAAAUGUGAAGAGGUUGCUUUUUUAGAUCAAUGAAGUAUGGUACAUAUAGUUAACCAAACAGUUAACUUAAGCAUCAUUAUCCACAAGCAGCCAGAGACAUACUACAUAGAAUUGUGCUGUUAACUUUCUGUUCUGCUCUUGCCAAGAAAUAGGUGAGAACUUUCUGUAUCCCAAGCAGAUUUUGUUCCACAAAAAGGAAACGGAGGUCUGGAGAAAUGAUGCAGGUUGGUGGCAAACCCAAGAUUCACCUGGAAAAAAUUCCAUUCUCCUCAAAAUGUGGCUAUCAAGGCCUAAGAUGAUCUUGGAAGCUGCAGGCUGAAGAUGGCAGGGCCUGAGUCCCUGAGCUACUGUGUGGAGUAGAGCCCCACCUCCUGCUGACCAGGAAUAUAGGCACUGGUGGUUACAUAAGUAAGGAAUCAACUUCUGAUACGUACAGUCGCUGAGAUUUGGGGGUUUAUGUGUUACGGCUGCUGAUGUUACCUUAAUUUCUAUUUUGAACCCUGUAGUGGGCUGAAUUAUGUUCCUGCCAAGAACUAUGUCUAAGUCCUCAUCCCCAGUACG